AUUGAACGCUAGCUACAGGCUUAACACAUGCAAGUCGAGGGACCGGCGCACGGGUGAGUAACACGUAUCCAACCUGCCCUUUACUCGGGGAUAGCCUUUCGAAAGAAAGAUUAAUACCCGAUAUAAAGGAUGGGGAUGCGUUGCAUUAGGUUGUUGGUGAGGUAACGGCGCACCAAGCCUUCGAUGGAUAGGGGUUCUGAGAGGAAGGGCCCCUACAUCGGAACUGAGACACGGUCCAAACGCCUACGGGAGGCAGCAGUAAGGAAGAUUGGUGAAGGGGCGGUAGCCUGAACCAGCCAAGUAGCGUGAAGGAUGAAGGCGUAGGGGUCGUAAACUUCUUGUAUAUAAGAAUAGGUAUUAUAUGAAUAAGGAUCGGCUAACUCCGUGCCAGCAGCCGCGGUAAUAC
This 406-nucleotide ribosomal RNA is filed under the name uncultured bacterium. RNAcentral's name for it is "partial 16S ribosomal RNA". It matches the Rfam family "Bacterial small subunit ribosomal RNA", at positions 30 to 526 of the family's 1533-position model. The record is from RNAcentral.